RNAcentral lists this transfer RNA (73 nucleotides) under Camelus bactrianus (Bactrian camel). It matches the Rfam family "tRNA". From Rfam's summary of the family: Transfer RNA (tRNA) molecules are approximately 80 nucleotides in length. Their secondary structure includes four short double-helical elements and three loops (D, anti-codon, and T loops). RNAcentral also lists the same sequence under 2 other names. The record is from Rfam by way of RNAcentral. Lineage: Eukaryota; Metazoa; Chordata; Mammalia; Artiodactyla; Camelidae.
AAAGGUACAGCUCAGUGGUAGAGCACAUGCUUCGCAUGUACAAUGUCCUGGGUUCUAAUCCCCAGUACCUCCU